ACGCAAUGAAAAGUUUCUUUUCAUUAACAACAACCACAGGAAUAAUAAUAAUAAUUAGAAUAAUAGCAAACACGUUGGUUUGAUCUUAUACAUCUUUUUCGAAGUAACUGCGUUUUCUUAACCAAUAAAUUGUGAACUUGCUAAAACCUCAGUCACUUCAUAAAAACUUUGCUUGCCUUCUUCUUCAAUAUCUUUUUCACUAAAAAGGCAUUCUUAUCGUAAACUCUUCGCAUUCCGUAUUCAUCCUUUGAAUCUUUCUCAUAUAGGAGGCUUUCACAUGGAUGUGUGUGCGAUAAUGGCUAAUUCGAUAUUUCUUCUUUCCAAUACCUAUCUCAUGACCUCAACUAUCACAGGUGAACUUUUAGAUUUUACUGGUUGUGCGAAAGCGUACUUAGAAAAUACACCAACUUCAACCAAAAGAUAUAUGUAACCUUUGCUUAGUUGUUGAAAUAAAAUUAACUCGCGAAUCAAUCGCCUUCGGAGAAAAUUUUUGUGCUUGGUUCUCAAAUAUAGCUCAUAAAACUUAAUAUCUUUCCUAAUCUUGUUUGACGUCUUUCAAGAAAAUUCAAAACAAAAUCUUAAUAAAUCAAUCUCGAUAUCAGAGUGGAUAGACAUGGAGAUCAGCCAGCUGAACAGCAGUCUUCUUUAUUUCUACGCACUGUGGUAAAAGGUAAUUAUUUUGAGAAUUUGAAUUUAUAAGAAAGAAAAAAAAGGUAACUCCUACGGGCUCGAUAGUUGUGAGUAAUCUUAAUUAAUUGAUUUAAUACGGUGUGAAAAUAAUUGUGUUGAAUGUAUGUGUCACAAAGUUGCUUCACACCGGAUUUACGGCAUCCUUCAAUUUUCCUUGCAUCUGUGAUAACGAUGACAAUGAUUGUUUCGAAUGUUAAUGCCGCUAAUGAAUUCAGUUACAAAACUAUGAAAGACGGUCAUGUUAAAAUACUAAUGAAAUCUAUCGAUUCGUCCGGCGAGUUGGUAAACUACUUGUGUGACAAAAAGUUAAAACUCACGCCUACCUAAUUAAACAAAAGAUUAAUGAAAGUCGGUAUUGAAAAGCUAAGACUCAAAGCUCGGAAUGUUUCUUAGAUUCACUAAAGACCCACUGCCAUAUAGGUCUGGGACCUGGUGCAGGUUCUUUAAAAACCAGAGACAUCACCCAAAUUCUUGGCACCGACCCGUGCAGACUUAUAGUGCAAAACAAGUCAAAUGCCUGAAAUGUGGCUUGGAUCGCAUAACUGAAUCCUUCACCAAAAAUGACGACACCCUCUCAAAAUGUGUAAACUGCCCAAAACGUUAUAAAGUUAAUCUUAUACACUAUCGGCUUCUUAAAAAGAAACUUCAGACGCAGAUCAACGCAU
This is a long non-coding RNA of Glossina fuscipes, 1355 nucleotides long. RefSeq lists it as uncharacterized. The transcript has 5 exons. Lineage: Eukaryota; Metazoa; Arthropoda; Insecta; Diptera; Glossinidae. The record is from RefSeq and is a predicted model, not a curated record.